Molecule: ribosomal RNA, 254 nt
Filed under: uncultured bacterium
Lineage: Bacteria
Description: partial 16S ribosomal RNA
Rfam family: Bacterial small subunit ribosomal RNA
Source: RNAcentral
UACGAAGGGGGCUAGCGUUGCUCGGAUUUACUGGGCGUAAAGGGCGCGUAGGCGGAUUGAUAAGUCAGGGGUGAAAUCCCGGAGCUCAACUUCGGAAUUGCCUUUGAUACUGUCUGUCUUCGAGUUCGGGAGAGGUUGGCGGAAUUCCUAGUGUAGAGGUGAAAUUCGUAGAUAUUAGGAAGAACACCAGUGGCGAAGGCGGCCAACUGGCCCGAUACUGACGCUCAUGUGCGAAAGCGUGGGGAGCAAACAGG